UCCUGCUUGACGCAGGCAGUCCCCCCAGAGUCCCCGGCAUGACCCGCUGGCAACUGAGGGUAAGGGUUUCGCUCGUUAUAGGACUUAACCCGACAUCUCACGACACGAGCUGACGACAGCCAUGCAGCACCUGUGGCAGCUUCCGGAUUGGAUACCGUUCGUUCGAGUUUCCCCGUUCUACCUGCUGCCUCUUUCGAACAUGUCAAGUCCAGGAUAAGGUUCUUCGCGUAGCCUCGAAUUAAGCCACAUGCUCCACCGCUUGUGUGAGCCCCCGUCAAUUUCUUUGAGUUUCAGCCUUGCGGCCAUACUCCCCAGGCGGAGAACUUAGCACUUUUGCUUCGGCAGUGAGUCCAUGUCUAACCCACUACCUAGUUCUCAUCGUUUAGGGCCAGGACUA
This 397-nucleotide unclassified non-coding RNA is filed under the name uncultured Planctomycetia bacterium. RNAcentral describes it as "contains 16S-23S intergenic spacer region". The record is from RNAcentral. Lineage: Bacteria; Pseudomonadati; Planctomycetota; Planctomycetia.